UUCAUGGAUCGGUGGUGUGUGUGUGUGUGUGUGUGUGUGUGCGUGUGUGCGUGCAUGCGCAUGCAUGCACCCCUCACUUCC
Molecule: microRNA precursor, 81 nt
Organism: Choloepus hoffmanni (Hoffmann's two-fingered sloth)
Lineage: Eukaryota; Metazoa; Chordata; Mammalia; Pilosa; Megalonychidae
Source: Ensembl